Macrobrachium nipponense is the source of this 708-nucleotide long non-coding RNA. RefSeq lists it as uncharacterized. The record is from RefSeq and is a predicted model, not a curated record. Lineage: Eukaryota; Metazoa; Arthropoda; Malacostraca; Decapoda; Palaemonidae. The transcript has 2 exons.
UAUGAGGAACCAGGUACCUUAUCCCUGGCGGUAUAAAUAUGAAGGAGCCAUUCGUUUCUUAGCAUAGAGCAGCAGCUGAGCUCAGUUGAUCAGUCCUGAAGGAUUUUAUACUCUUGGUUUGCAAGAUGAAGUUUGCUUCCAGCAUCGUCUGCCUGCUGAUCCUGGCAUCGGCGCUAUUCGCCGCCACCCUAGCCGGCCCGGUGGCCCAACCCGAACCGAUCUUCAAGCUACUCAAGAAAUUGGGCAAGAAAUUGGGCGGUUUCGGGGGUGGCCACGGUUACGGAUACGGUUACGGCGGGGGAUUCCAUCACCUCCCCGUCCCUGUGCCCUUCGGAUACGGAGGGUUUCACAAAGGAUUCGGUGGAUACGGCUGGUAGAGUAGUGAUGAAAGGAAGCUAGCUGUCUAGCUAACUAGCCAUUGUUGAUCUUUGGCAGAAGGAAGGCCAGGUCAAGUGUGAGAUUGCCUUAGUGGAUAUUCUCCAAUGGAAGCCUUACCUCAGUGUACCAUUGUACCCUGGUGGUACCCUACGUCUGACGGUACCACUGACGAAGUUAUAAAUUCCCCCCCUCCCCUCCCCACCUUGUAUUUAUGUAUAUCUGCCAAAGGUUCACAAGCUGAGAUUCGCUGUCUCUCUUAGCUAUAUUUUGAUGUAUUUUGUACUGAGUGGGGUCCACUCUCGUAGAUUUUAGUAAAAACUAUUAAGUAAA